AGUCUACGUAGUUUGAUCCUGGCUACAGACGAACGCUGGCGGCAUGCCUAACACAUGCAAGUCGAACGAGACCUUCGGGUCUAGUGGCGCACGGGUGCGUAACGCGUGGGAAUCUGCCCCUUGGUUCGGAAUAACAGCGAGAAAUUGCUGCUAAUACCGGAUAAUGACGUAAGUCCAAAGAUUUAUCGCCAAGGGAUGAGCCCGCGUAGGAUUAGCUAGUUGGUGUGGUAAAGGCGCACCAAGGCGACGAUCCUUAGCUGGUCUGAGAGGAUGAUCAGCCACACUGGGACUGAGACACGGCCCAGACUCCUACGGGAGGCAGCAGUGGGGAAUUUUGGACAAUGGGCGCAAGCCUGAUCCAGCAAUGCCGCGUGCAGGAUGAAGGCCUUCGGGUUGUAAACUGCUUUUGUACGGAACGAAACGGUGAGCUCUAAUACAGUUUGCUAAUGACGGUACCGUAAGAAUAAGCACCGGCUAACUACGUG
This 485-nucleotide ribosomal RNA is filed under the name uncultured bacterium. RNAcentral's name for it is "bacterial SSU rRNA". It matches the Rfam family "Bacterial small subunit ribosomal RNA", at positions 1 to 507 of the family's 1533-position model. The record is from RNAcentral.